This is a long non-coding RNA of Zophobas morio, 537 nucleotides long. RefSeq lists it as uncharacterized. NCBI's taxonomy places the organism in Eukaryota, Metazoa, Arthropoda, Insecta, Coleoptera, Tenebrionidae. The record is from RefSeq and is a predicted model, not a curated record. The transcript is spliced from 3 exons.
AUGAUGUCCACUUUCGAUUAUCAUUUGCUGAACUUUACCGCCAUUUUCCACAAACUGAAGAACUUGUUGAAACGGAAAUUAUUAAAGCUUUGCUACAGGAUGAACAGCUUGGCCAAUCAGAAAAUACGUUUGAUGCCGUGGCUAAAUAUUAUAUUAUUCCCAAAUUCACCAAUGAAAAUUUUGAGCGCGUUUGUAAAAUAUAUGAGUUGGCCAAUGAAAAGCUGAAAACACCAGCCGUUGCAGUUCUGUAUAUUGAGUGUCUUGCGUCAUUACUUGAUAAGAAAUCACCAAUGAAUGGUGCUAAAAUAAGCGACGCUUGCUUGGAGUCGAUUAGUGAUUGGUUGGUUCAAAUUGGAAGCCAAUUUUCUAGCGAAUUUGAUUUGCCGUCGUCAACUAUAAGGAUUGUUAUAUCGUUUAUGCUUGAGAAGAGACUUUAUAAAGAAGCUUUAGACUUGAGCUUGCAAGUCCUUAAUAAAAAAAGUAAUAGUCCUGAAGACUGGAUCUUUUCUAUACGAACACACACGCAAUGCAUAAAUA